AUUGAACGCUGGCGGCAUGCCUUACACAUGCAAGUCGAACGGUAACAGGUCUUCGGAUGCUGACGAGUGGCGAACGGGUGAGUAAUACAUCGGAACGUGCCUAGUAGUGGGGGAUAACUACUCGAAAGAGUGGCUAAUACCGCAUGAGAUCUACGGAUGAAAGCAGGGGAUCGCAAGACCUUGUGCUACUAGAGCGGCCGAUGGCAGAAUAGGUAGUUGGUGGGAUAAAAGCUUACGAAGCCGACGAUCUGUAGCUGGUCUGAGAGGACGAUCAGCCACACUGGGACUGAGACACGGCCCAGACUCCAACGGGAGGCAGCAGUGGGGAAUUUUGGACAAUGGGCGAAAGCCUGAACCAGCAAUGCCGCGUGCAGGAUGAAGGCCUUCGGGUUGUAAACUGCUUUUGUACGGAACGAAAAGCCCCGGGUUAAUACCCUGGGGUCAUGACGGUACCGUAAGAAUAAGCACCGGCUAACUACGUGCCAGCAGCCGCCGUAA
This 498-nucleotide ribosomal RNA is filed under the name uncultured bacterium. Its description in RNAcentral is "partial 16S ribosomal RNA". It matches the Rfam family "Bacterial small subunit ribosomal RNA", at positions 30 to 523 of the family's 1533-position model. The record is from RNAcentral.